Long non-coding RNA from Pan troglodytes (chimpanzee), 2500 nucleotides. RefSeq lists it as uncharacterized. The transcript is spliced from 2 exons. The record is from RefSeq and is a predicted model, not a curated record. NCBI's taxonomy places the organism in Eukaryota, Metazoa, Chordata, Mammalia, Primates, Hominidae.
AGACGGGAUCUCACCAUCUUGCCCAGGCUGGUCUCCUAACUCCUGGGCUCAAGCGAGCCUCCCACCUUGGCCUCCCGAGUAGCUGGGACCUACUGAGUCACACUUGUAGUCACAUCCUUUUCCUUUCUCCAACCCACUGGUUAAUCAUGAAAGGCUCUUCUGAUUGGCUGCCUCCUGGCAGUAGUGCCUCAGCGCGGCGGUUCGGGAGCAAAUAAAUAAUUCCCGCUGGGAAGCUGUUUCUCAGACAGGAGCAGCGACACCCCUGCCACGCCUGCCGCCUGGAGUUGAGUGGGGUCCCCGUGCCGCCUUCAGCGCGCCUCCUUAUGCACCUCUACCUCUGCUGCGGCGCACCUCUUCCGCAGCCCCAGCGGCCUCCCCGAGGGGCGCCGCGGCCUCGGCUGUCCCGCCCCUGCCUGGCACGACCACCUGACCUCCAGCGACCCAAGAAGCAAGUUGUGUUUGCAGACGCAAAGGGGCUGUCGUUGGUAUCGGUGCACUGGUUUGAAGCCACUGCGGGCAGAGCCUGAAGAGGGCCGGUGUCCCGCGUGCAGCCUCCCCGGCCCGGCCUCCUCCUGCUGCAGAACCGCCCCCCACGCCCGGGGCUGCUGCGCCCCAGGAGGGACUAGGGGGUAUUCAGGGAUGCCCGCACUCUCGGGGGCGAGCCUGCAGCUGUGUGCCCUGUAGGGGCUUCCUGCGGGGCACCGUGAGCGCAGGUGGGGACAAGCGGGCGGUGCAGAUGCGCACCCCCUGGAUGCCUGGGGUUCCUUCCAACAAGAGCCCUGUGUUGGAACGCCGGGUCCCCGCGGAGGUGAGAGGGUCGGCCUCGCCUUCCAGGCGGUGUUGCCGCCGAGUCCCCUGGCCCCGCGGGCCACCGUCCAGUUCUGCUUCUCUUUAGAGCGUGCUCAGCGGCCUUUCGGGGACAGUAAUCAAAGGCAAAACUACAGCUGGGUGCCGGGUUCGCCGUCCUGCUCAUCAGAAUGAAGCCAGGCUCUGUGAGGGCGCACAGACAGACAGGCUGAGGCCUCUGCGCCUGCCUUUUCCACCUGGGCAAAGCGUGAUUUCUUGUCCAGGACGCGCGUGUUUCCUAUGUCGGGGAACUUUGCUCAAUCUGUUUUCUUGCUCCUGAAUUCAUAAUGGAGAAACAGGACUGAUUCAACUCCUAGUCCCUGCAGAAGGCCUCGAAUGCCUUGCAUUCUUCUCUCACUUCCUGACUACAAGGGAUGAGGUUUUGCUUUAGGAAGAUUCUGGGAAUGGAGUCGGGAAACGGAAGAAAUGCAAAUAAAGUAUUUAUAUGUAAUUAUUGAAAGGGCUUAGCAGAGAGUGUCUAAGGACCGUGGGUGGUGUGUGCGUGCGCGUGUGUGGAUGUUUGUGUGUGUAUUGCAGAGGUUGGGGAGGGGUUCUUUACGUUAAAGAUGGGAGAGAGAACUUUGCCCUUCUACUUUCCUCUCCAUCUAGGAAGGGCUACUUUCCUGGUAACUUGAAAUAGUCAGGCUUAUUCCACUUUUGCCAAAAGGAAUGUUCAUUAAAGCAUCUUCAACAGUUGAUAUAAUAAACACUUUUUCUCCCUCUUCAUCAUAUAAAAGUGUGGGGAGACUCUGUCUCUGUUCAUUUCAAAAUAUGGGUACUUUUAAAAACACUUAUUUUCAGUAGUUUAGUACACUUUAAUUUUUAAUUUUAAUUAUUAUUAUUUUUUUUUAGACAGUAUCUCCUCAUGUUGUCCAAGCUGGUCUUGAACUCCUGGGUUCAACUGGUCCUCCUGCCUAAGGAUCACUCAGAGUGUUGGGAUUACAGGUGUGAGCCAUGGUGCCUGGGUACUACUUUUUUUUUUUUUUUUUUUUUUUUGAGAUGGAGUCUCGCCUUGUCACCCAGGUUGGAGUGCAAUGGUGCCAUAUCAGCUCACUGCAAUCUCCACCUCCUGGGUUCAAAUGAUUCUCCUGCCUCAGCCUCCCGUGUAGCUGGGAUUAUAGGCACCUGCCACCAUGCACUGCUAUUUUUUGUAUCUUUAGUAGAGACGGGGUUUCAUCAUGUUGGCCAGGCUGGUCUCAAACUGCUGACCUCGUGAUCCUCCCACCUUGGCCUCCCAAAGUGCUGGGAUUACAGGCGUGAGCCAACACACCCGGCUGCUACUACUUCUUUGAGUGCAAUUUACCUAGACCCAGAAACCUGACCUUUGCCCCCACGGCCCCCAUAGCUCCCCAUUAUGUAUUGAUGGUCCGGUAUUGAAAGCAUCCACUGAAGUGUUUGCCUCCCCCAGGAUGGGAGAAAGUGAGGACAAGUUGGCCUUGGACACAGCCGGCCACAGGCUGGCCACCCCCCUGGAGCUCAGAACAUAUGGAUUAGAAUAAUACAUGAGAAUGUGUGCCAAGUAUGCCUCUAGCUUCAAUUUACAGUGUUCUGAGAGCUUUAGAUGUUGGAAGGCUUUAACCUCUUUUCAGGGACUCUUCAUUCUUCGAUUAUUAUUCAUAGAUGACAAAUUUUAAAUAAAAGAUUUCUUUUUGUA